Molecule: ribosomal RNA, 382 nt
Filed under: uncultured eukaryote
Lineage: Eukaryota
Description: partial 18S ribosomal RNA
Rfam family: Eukaryotic small subunit ribosomal RNA
Source: RNAcentral
UGUAAGCGUAUACCAAAGUUGUUGCAGUUAAAACGCUCGUAGUCGGAAUUUGGCAGUUCCGGAUGUGUGCACGUCGUGUGCGCACUUCGCGGGGAUUGCUUUUGUGGUCUUGCGUAGGAUGAGGCACUUUUAUUAGUGAACGUCCUCACGCGACCACUUUUUACUGUGAGAAAAUCAGAGUGCUCAAAGCAGGCAUUUGCCGUGAAUGUAUUAGCAUGGAAUAAUAGAAUAGGACUUGGUUCUAUUUUGUUGGUUUGUUGGGACUGAGUAAUGAUUAAGAGGGACAGUUGGGGGCAUUUGUAUUUCGGUGCUAGAGGUGGAAUUCUUAGAUUACCGAAAGACAAACUGCCGCGAAAGCGUCUGCCAAGGAUGUUUUCAUUGA